This 1470-nucleotide ribosomal RNA is filed under the name Actinomyces sp. RNAcentral describes it as "bacterial SSU rRNA". It matches the Rfam family "Bacterial small subunit ribosomal RNA". Lineage: Bacteria; Bacillati; Actinomycetota; Actinomycetes; Actinomycetales; Actinomycetaceae. The record is from RNAcentral.
GACGAACGCUGGCGGCGUGCUUAACACAUGCAAGUCGAACGGUGAAGGGGCCUGCUUUUGUGGGUCCUGGAUGAGUGGCGAACGGGUGAGUAACACGUGAGUAACUUGCCCCCUUCUUCUGGAUAACCGCAUGAAAGUGUGGCUAAUACGGGAUAUUCUGGGUCUGUCGCAUGGUGGGCCUGGGAAAGAUUGCGCCUUUUUGGGUGUUUUUGGUGGGGGAUGGGCUCGCGGCCUAUCAGCUUGUUGGUGGGGUGAUGGCCUACCAAGGCGGUGACGGGUAGCCGGCCUGAGAGGGUGGACGGUCACACUGGGACUGAGACACGGCCCAGACUCCUACGGGAGGCAGCAGUGGGGAAUAUUGCACAAUGGGCGCAAGCCUGAUGCAGCGACGCCGCGUGAGGGAUGGAGGCCUUCGGGUUGUGAACCUCUUUCGCCAGUGAAGCAGGCCUGCUCCUGUGUGGGUGGGUUGACGGUAGCUGGAUAAGAAGCGCCGGCUAACUACGUGCCAGCAGCCGCGGUAAUACGUAGGGCGCGAGCGUUGUCCGGAAUUAUUGGGCGUAAAGAGCUCGUAGGCGGCUGGUCGCGUCUGUCGUGAAAUCCUCUGGCUUAACUGGGGGCUUGCGGUGGGUACGGGCCGGCUUGAGUGCGGUAGGGGAGGCUGGAACUCCUGGUGUAGCGGUGGAAUGCGCAGAUAUCAGGAAGAACACCGGUGGCGAAGGCGGGUCUCUGGGCCGUUACUGACGCUGAGGAGCGAAAGCGUGGGGAGCGAACAGGAUUAGAUACCCUGGUAGUCCACGCCGUAAACGUUGGGCACUAGGUGUGGGGGGCCUUUUCCGGGUUUUCCGCGCCGUAGCUAACGCAUUAAGUGCCCCGCCUGGGGAGUACGGCCGCAAGGCUAAAACUCAAAGGAAUUGACGGGGGCCCGCACAAGCGGCGGAGCAUGCGGAUUAAUUCGAUGCAACGCGAAGAACCUUACCAAGGCUUGACAUGUGCCGGAUGGCUCCGGAGACGGGGUUUCCUCUCUUUUUUUUGGGGGGCUGGUUCACAGGUGGUGCAUGGUUGUCGUCAGCUCGUGUCGUGAGAUGUUGGGUUAAGUCCCGCAACGAGCGCAACCCUUGUCUCGUGUUGCCAGCACGUUGUGGUGGGGACUCGCGGGAGACUGCCGGGGUCAACUCGGAGGAAGGUGGGGAUGACGUCAAAUCAUCAUGCCCCUUAUGUCUUGGGCUUCACGCAUGCUACAAUGGCCGGUACAGAGGGCUGCGAUACCGUGAGGUGGAGCGAAUCCCUUAAAGCCGGUCUCAGUUCGGAUCGGUGUCUGCAACUCGACACCGUGAAGUUGGAGUCGCUAGUAAUCGCAGAUCAGCAACGCUGCGGUGAAUACGUUCUCGGGCCUUGUACACACCGCCCGUCACGUCAUGAAAGUCGGCAACACCCGAAGCCCGUGGCCCUACGGGGAGCGGUCGAAGGUGG